UGCCACCCUCACCCACAUCAGCGUUUGGAUGCCUUCCUCUAGGUCCUUUAGGAGGUCAUAGACGUUGCUGUCAGAGGCGCCGUACACCAGGCUGUUGGCGAAGACACUCCUGAGGAACUGCACGGGCUCCAGCCACGACUGGAUGAGCAGCAGGGAGAUGCGGAGCAGCUCUAGGUUCUGCAGGGGAAGGACGGGCAUUGGCUGUGCUGCCCGGGGGCUCUGACUACAGGUCUCCCCCAUCCCCGCCUGGGGAGAAGGCAUCCACUCACGGAUUUCUGUUGUGUUUCCUCCCUGUUGGAGGGUGUCGGAAUAGACUCUGAGAAACAGAGGGAGGUCUGGGGGUUCUGCAGGAAUGAAUACUUCUGUUCCUUUGGGAUAUAGCCAUUGCAGCUAGGUGAGCUGUCCACAGGACCCUGAGUGGUUCGGGGAGUUGGGCCUUGGGAUCCUUGAGCUGGUCUCUUGUGGGCCCUUUUUAUACCCUGGCCCCUUCUCUCCCACUGUUGACCCCACCUGUUUCUGUGUACAUUUAUGCAUGGGGCCACUGACGGGCUUGUGCUAAUGGAUAAUUUAGAAGCUCCUCCCACACAUGCUGGGAUCAUGCCCCCUGGCUUGUCAUCUUUCCCUUCCCACCGUCACCAGUGUUGUGAGGGUUGUGCACA
Molecule: long non-coding RNA, 659 nt
Filed under: Homo sapiens (human)
Lineage: Eukaryota; Metazoa; Chordata; Mammalia; Primates; Hominidae
Description: HSALNT0391085
Source: RNAcentral